RNAcentral lists this long non-coding RNA (636 nucleotides) under Homo sapiens (human). RNAcentral's name for it is "non-protein coding lnc-ATP13A2-1:1". The record is from RNAcentral. Lineage: Eukaryota; Metazoa; Chordata; Mammalia; Primates; Hominidae.
UAUAAGCUGGGUAGGAAGCUAUUGAGCAAUGUGAAAUAAUUAGGAGAUGAUACCCAGUGUGUAUAAUUAAGCACCCGGGUACCAGGUGCAGUAUGGAUCAAAGGUUUGCAGGGACCAUUAAUCAAGUGAAGCUACAAGUGUUGGGAACCUUUCCUUGAAAGAUGGACAAGAAUUAAAGAGUAUGGAGAUGAGGCAUCUAAGCUGAGUGAAUUCCCUUUCCUCUGCACUCCCAGAGCUUUGAGUUGAGCCAGGGUGCCGCUCUGGCCUGUUGAUUGGCAGCUCAGCUAAUCAUCCCUGGUUUUCCAGGCCUAUCGCUGGAUGAUUGACUCCAGAGAUGACUUCACAGAGGAGCGCCUGGCCAAGCUGCAGGACCCAUUCUCUCUAUACCGCUGCCACACCAUCAUGAACUGCACAAGGACCUGUCCUAAGGGUCUGAAUCCAGGGAAAGCUAUUGCAGAGAUCAAGAAAAUGAUGGCAACCUAUAAGGAGAAGAAAGCUUCAGUUUAACUGUUUCCAUGCUAAACAUGAUUUAUAACCAGCUCAGAGCUGAACAUAAUUUAUAUCUAAUUUGAGUUCCUUUAAAGAUCUUGGUUUUCCAUGAAUACAGCAUGUAUAAUAAAAAUUUUAAGAAAUAAA